UUGAAUUUGAUUGGUUACCUUCUGUGCUGGCUCCGGCAUGUGCACGUUGGUGACUUUCAUCCAAUACCCUUUUGUGAACCUUUGGCCUCAUGCUGGCUUUGCUGGCAGAGGAUUUACACAAACUCGAAUGUAACAGAAAGACCUUGUUGUGCGCAAGCACUAAUGUA
This 167-nucleotide unclassified non-coding RNA is filed under the name uncultured Sebacinaceae. Its description in RNAcentral is "sequence contains ITS1". Lineage: Eukaryota; Fungi; Basidiomycota; Agaricomycetes; Sebacinales; Sebacinaceae. The record is from RNAcentral.